UUAAGUUCAGCGGGUAUCCCUACCUGAUCCGAGGUCAACCAUAGAAGGGGGUUCUGGCAGGCUACCGCCUAGCCCCAGAGCGAGAGCUGUACUACGCUUGGAGCCAGACGCUGCCGCCACUGUCUUUAGGGCCGGCCGCGAGCGGGCGGGGCCCAACACACAAGCCGGGCUUGAUGGGCAGUAAUGACGCUCGGACAGGC
RNAcentral lists this unclassified non-coding RNA (200 nucleotides) under Oidiodendron sp. RNAcentral describes it as "partial internal transcribed spacer 2". The record is from RNAcentral. Lineage: Eukaryota; Fungi; Ascomycota; Leotiomycetes; Myxotrichaceae.